GACUUGAUUAGAUUGAGCCUUGGUAUGGAAACCUGCUAAGUGGUAACUUCCAAAUUCAGAGAAACCCUGGAAUUAAAAAUGGGCAAUCCUGAGCCAAAUCUUUAUGUUAAGAAAACAAAAGAUAGGUGCAGAGACUCAAUGGAAGCUGUUCUAACAAAUGGAAUUGACGUUGACUACGUUGCGUUGGUAGCUGGAAUCCCUCUAUCGAAAUUACAGAAAGGAUGACCCUAUAUGCGUAUAUAUACAUACUGACAUAUCAAACGAUUAAUCACAACUCGAAUCUGGAAUCCAUAUUAUUAACUAUAACUAUAUAUUAUAGUUAUUAUUAUAUAUAUUUUUAUAUAUUUAAAAAAAGAUAUAUUUUUAUAUAAAUUUAUAGAUUAAUUAAGAGUUAUUAUAAAUAUAUUCCAGUCGAAGUUGAAGGAAGAAUCGAAUAUUCAGUAUUCAGUGAUCAAAUCAUUCAUUCCGGAGUCGGAUAGAUCUUUUGAAAAAAAUGAUUAAUCGGACGAGAAUAAAGAGAGAGUCCUGUUCUACGUGUCAAUACCGACAGCAAUGAAAUUUAUAGUAUUAGGAAAAUCCGUCGACUUUAGAAAUCGUGA
RNAcentral lists this non-coding RNA (599 nucleotides) under Colchicum doerfleri. Its description in RNAcentral is "partial transfer RNA-Leu". The stretch from base 1 to 251 matches the Rfam family "Group I catalytic intron". The record is from RNAcentral. Lineage: Eukaryota; Viridiplantae; Streptophyta; Magnoliopsida; Liliales; Colchicaceae.